AUUGAACGCUGGCGGAAUGCUUUACACAUGCAAGUCGAACGAUGAACCUUAGCUUGCUAAGGGGAUUAGUGGCGAACGGGUGAGUAAUAUAUCGGAACGUACCUUGUAGUGGGGGAUAACUAGUCGAAAGAUUAGCUAAUACCGCAUACGCCCUGAGGGGGAAAGUAGGGGAUCUUCGGACCUUACGUUAUAAGAGCGGCCGAUAUCUGAUUAGCUAGUUGGUGGGGUAAUGGCCUACCAAGGCGACGAUCAGUAGCUGGUCUGAGAGGACGACCAGCCACACUGGAACUGAGACACGGUCCAGACUCCUACGGGAGGCAGCAGUGGGGAAUUUUGGACAAUGGGCGCAAGCCUGAUCCAGCCAUUCCGCGUGAGUGAAGAAGGCCUUCGGGUUGUAAAGCUCUUUCGCAAGGGAAGAAAACUUACAUUCUAAUAAAGUGUGAGGCUGACGGUACCUUGAUAAGAAGCACCGGCUAACUACGUGCCAGCAGCCGCAGUAA
Molecule: ribosomal RNA, 500 nt
Filed under: uncultured bacterium
Lineage: Bacteria
Description: partial 16S ribosomal RNA
Rfam family: Bacterial small subunit ribosomal RNA
Source: RNAcentral